Molecule: ribosomal RNA, 253 nt
Filed under: uncultured bacterium
Lineage: Bacteria
Description: partial 16S ribosomal RNA
Rfam family: Bacterial small subunit ribosomal RNA
Source: RNAcentral
UACGUAGGGAGCAAGCGUUGUUCGGAUUUACUGGGCGUAAAGGGCGCGUAGGCGGCGCGGUAAGUCACUUGUGAAAUCUCUUAGCUUAACUCAGAACGGCCAAGUGAUACUGCAGUGCUAGAGUGCAGAAGGGGCAAUCGGAAUUCUUGGUGUAGCGGUGAAAUGCGUAGAUAUCAAGAGGAACACCUGAGGUGAAGACGGGUUGCUAGGCUGACACUGACGCUGAGGCACGAAAGCGUGGGGAGCAAACAGG